AUUGAACGCUGGCGGCAGGCCUAACACAUGCAAGUCGAGCGAGAGGCGGACGGGUGAGUAAUGUAUGGGGAUCUGCCCGAUAGAGGGGGAUAACUACUGGAAACGGUGACUAAUCCCGCAUAUUAUCGGAUGAACCCAUAUGGGAUUAGCUAGUAGGUGGGGUAACGGCUCACCUAGGCGACGAUCUCUAGCUGGUCUGAGAGGAUGAUCAGCAAAACUGUGAAUGAGACACGGCCCAGACUCCCACGUGAGGCAGCAGUGGGGAAGAGUGAACAAUGGGGGCAAGCCUGAUGCAGCCAUGCCGCGUGUAUGAUGAAGGCCUUAGGGUUGUAAAGUACUUUCAGCGGGGAGGCGUUACCCGCAGAAGAAGCACCGGCUAACUCCGUGCCAGCAGCCGCGGUAAUAC
This 406-nucleotide ribosomal RNA is filed under the name uncultured bacterium. RNAcentral describes it as "partial 16S ribosomal RNA". It matches the Rfam family "Bacterial small subunit ribosomal RNA", at positions 30 to 526 of the family's 1533-position model. The record is from RNAcentral.